RNAcentral lists this ribosomal RNA (497 nucleotides) under uncultured bacterium. RNAcentral describes it as "partial 16S ribosomal RNA". It matches the Rfam family "Bacterial small subunit ribosomal RNA", at positions 28 to 507 of the family's 1533-position model. The record is from RNAcentral.
GAUGAACGCUGGCGGCGUGCCUAAUACAUGCCAGUCGAGCGAGCAGACGAGGAGCUUGCUCCUCUGACGUUAGCGGCGGACGGGUGAGUAACACGUGGAUAACCUACCUAUAAGACUGGGAUAACUUCGGGAAACCGGAGCUAAUACCGGAUAAUAUAUUGAACCGCAUGGUUCAAUAGUGAAAGACGGUUUUGCUGUCACUUAUAGAUGGAUCCGCGCCGCAUUAGCUAGUUGGUAAGGUAACGGCUUACCAAGGCGACGAUGCGUAGCCGACCUGAGAGGGUGAUCGGCCACACUGGAACUGAGACACGGUCCAGACUCCUACGGGAGGCAGCAGUAGGGAAUCUUCCGCAAUGGGCGAAAGCCUGACGGAGCAACGCCGCGUGAGUGAUGAAGGUCUUCGGAUCGUAAAACUCUGUUAUUAGGGAAGAACAAAUGUGUAAGUAACUAUGCACGUCUUGACGGUACCUAAUCAGAAAGCAACGGCUAACUACGUG